CGCGUAGGUGGUUGUGAUAGUCAGAUGUGAAAUCCUUUGGCUUAACUGAAGAACUGCAUCUGAAACUUCACAACUCGAGUACAGGAGAGGGAAACGGAAUUCCCGGUGUAGAGGUGAAAUUCGUAGAUAUCGGGAGGAACACCAGUGGCGAAGGCGGUUUCCUGGCCUGAUACUGACACUGAGGCGCGAAAGCGUGGGGAGCAAACA
RNAcentral lists this ribosomal RNA (207 nucleotides) under uncultured Syntrophorhabdus sp. RNAcentral describes it as "partial 16S ribosomal RNA". It matches the Rfam family "Bacterial small subunit ribosomal RNA", at positions 568 to 774 of the family's 1533-position model. Lineage: Bacteria; Pseudomonadati; Thermodesulfobacteriota; Syntrophorhabdia; Syntrophorhabdales; Syntrophorhabdaceae. The record is from RNAcentral.